GGGACACGUGAAAUCCUGUCUGAACAUGGGGGGACCACCCUCCAAGCCUAAAUACUCGUACAUGACCGAUAGCGAACACAGUACCGUGAGGGAAAGGUGAAAAGCACCCCGAUUAGGGGAGUGAAACAGUACCUGAAACCGGAUGCUUACAAGCAGUUGGAGCCCCAUAGGGGGUGACAGCGUACCUCUUGCAUAAUGGGUCAGUGACUUAAUCUAGCAUGCGAGCUUAAGCCGUUAGGUGUAGGCGAAGCGAAAGCGAGUCUGAAUAGGGCGACUGAGUAUGUUGGAUUAGACCCGAAACCCGGCGAUCUAGGCAUGAGCAGAUUGAAGGUGCGGUAACACGCACUGGAGGAUCGAACCGUUGCAUGUUGAAAAAUGCUCGGAUGACUUGUGUUUAGGGGUGAAAGGCCAAUCAAGCCGGGAAAUAGCUGGUUCUCCGCGAAAUCUAUUGAGGUAGAGCGUCAGAUGUAUGCCGAUGGGGGUAGAGCACUGGAUGGGCUAGGGCUGCGCGAGCGGUACCAAACCUAACCAAACUCCGAAUACCAUCGAGACUUGUCUGGCAGACAGACGGCGGGUGCUAAGGUCCGUCGUCAAAAGGGAAACAGCCCUAACCUACAGCUAAGGUCCCCAAGUCGUAUCUAAGUGGGAAAGCAUGUGGGAAUCCCAAAACAACCAGGAGGUUGGCUUAGAAGCAGCCAUCCUUUAAAGAAAGCGUAACAGCUCACUGGUCUAAAUAAGGGUUCCUGCGGCGAAGAUGUAACGGGGCUAAAGAUACGCACCGAAGCUUAGGGUUGCAGUUUACUGCAGCGGUAGCGGAGCGUUCCGUAAGCGAGUGAAGGAGAAGGGUAACCGACUCUGGACGUAUCGGAAGUGCGAAUGCUGACAUGAGUAGCGACAAACAGGGUGAGAUACCCUGUCGCCGAAAGACCAAGGGUUCCUACGCAAUGCUAAUCAGCGUAGGGUGAGCCGGCCCCUAAGACGAGCCCGAAGGGGGUAGUCGAUGG
This 1004-nucleotide ribosomal RNA is filed under the name Umezakia ovalisporum. Its description in RNAcentral is "bacterial LSU rRNA". It matches the Rfam family "Bacterial large subunit ribosomal RNA", at positions 419 to 1421 of the family's 2925-position model. Lineage: Bacteria; Bacillati; Cyanobacteriota; Cyanophyceae; Nostocales; Nodulariaceae. The record is from RNAcentral.